GAGCCCCGCCCCGCCCUGAGACCGCAGGCGUGCGCAGGUGGCCGGCCGGCGCGGCAGGUACGGUGGUGGGAGCAGGCGUGGAGGUUAGGGGCGUUCGUCCUGCCUCGAGUGGGCAGGUGUCCCGGCUCAAGGCAGGCCCAGAGGGACCGCCGAGAUCAUCCAGUGCAACCCCUGCACUUACCAAGGAGAAAGUCCAUGCAGGCAUUUUCUCUGGAGUGUGAACCUCGCACGGGACCUGCCAGGGGAGGCAUGUGUGUACACCUACGCAUGCUGUCUCCUGGAGCUUCAAGAUGCUGUCUCUUGGCGUUGGACUCAGGCCUCCCUCCCGUUGCUGAAGCAGAAUCAAGAAACCUCAGGUCAAGGAGCUGGAGCCCUUCUGCUCUGUCUGUGCCAGGUGCUGUUGAACAUGACAGAUGUGAGCUGAGCCCACUGGCGCCCAGGGGUGAGGUGGACUUUCAAGGAAUAACCCUACAAACAUGGGGAUGUCCUCGCUGGGAAUGGAAUUCUGAACCCAGGAAGAGAAGAGGGGGUCAUGAGACAAAAAGAAGGUCACUGAAAAAGAAGGACAUAGGGACAGAGGCUAUAGAGAGGCUUGGCUGUGACAGAUUGUCAGGGAGAAGGGGAGAGACUUUUGUUUUGAUGUUGUUUUCAAACAACAGCAGUUACCUGGAAAGAAACCAACCACUACCAACUAUAGCCUAAAUAUAAAGUGACUGAGGAAGCAUAAGAAAUGUGUCUCAAGCGAUGCAAAGCUGUGCGUGUAUCAACAUGAGCAAACUAAUUCAGAUGGGCAUGCAGAACACAAAUGGGAGGGGUGAUGGGGUUGACUGUAGUUAUUCUUUGCUUUUUGUUUCUUGCCUGAUGAAAAAUUUGCAAUUUUUGCACUGUCACAGAGCACUCAAAACUGUGAUUAUGUUUCACAAUUUCG
RNAcentral lists this long non-coding RNA (928 nucleotides) under Equus caballus (horse). Its description in RNAcentral is "lncRNA (ENSECAG00000033125.3)". Lineage: Eukaryota; Metazoa; Chordata; Mammalia; Perissodactyla; Equidae. The record is from RNAcentral.